UACGGAGGGGGCUAGCGUUGUUCGGAAUUACUGGGCGUAAAGCGCACGUAGGCGGCUUUGUAAGUUAGAGGUGAAAGCCCGGAGCUCAACUCCGGAAAUGCCAUUGAAACUGUAAGACUUGAGGAUGAGAGAGGUGAGUGGAAUUCCCAGUGUAGAGGUGAAAUUCGUAGAUAUUGGGAAGAACACCGGUGGCGAAGGCGGCUCACUGGCUCAUAUCUGACGCUCAGGCGCGACAGCGUGGGGAUCAAACAGG
Molecule: ribosomal RNA, 253 nt
Filed under: uncultured bacterium
Lineage: Bacteria
Description: partial 16S ribosomal RNA
Rfam family: Bacterial small subunit ribosomal RNA
Source: RNAcentral